RNAcentral lists this unclassified non-coding RNA (329 nucleotides) under Hevea brasiliensis (rubber tree). The record is from RNAcentral. Lineage: Eukaryota; Viridiplantae; Streptophyta; Magnoliopsida; Malpighiales; Euphorbiaceae.
UCUGGUUUUACUGUGUUUAAGUAUCGGCUGAGGCGACUGGAAGGACAGCCGACAUUGACCACUAACCAGGUCCAAUUUGUUUAUGGGCGUGUUCCCCAAUCAAUUUCUGAAAUUAGAGGGUUGGUAUGUGAGGACAUUAGUGGGGGUGAAGAGUAUGUCCCUAUUCCAGCUACAAAUUUGGUUGAUGAUCCACCUGUUCCACCAACAGAUUUCACAUACUUCAAGUCUAUACAAGUUGCCCAGAACAUAAAGAUCCCAACUAAUGCCUCUGGCUGCAACUGCAAAGGAGCUUGUAUGGACCCUCAGACAUGUGCUUGUGCAAAGCUUAA